Heterocephalus glaber (naked mole-rat) is the source of this 1620-nucleotide long non-coding RNA. The record is from Ensembl. Lineage: Eukaryota; Metazoa; Chordata; Mammalia; Rodentia; Bathyergidae.
GAAGAAUCAGACAGCUCCAUCUAUUUAGGGUUCCCCUGCACCUCCCUUGCUCCUCUGAAUCCGAUCAGCUCUGUAGAAAGCAACCAAGUUUCUUCUGUGAAGCCUCCCUACACCCAGCAUGGGAUCAAAGUAGUGAAACGGAGCCUAGCUGCCAUGAGAUGUUCCCGCCGUCUGCUUCUUCCUCCUUGUUCCUGUCUCUGCACACGUCUUAGCGUUCUUCCUUGUUCAUCUCUGUAGGGUGCAGAUGGGACCAUUGCCAUGAUCACCACCGUCAGAGUCCACUUACUGAACGCCUGCCCUGUGCUAACCACCACGUUUGCAACUUGACAUGAACUACGUCAUAUACUCCUCACAAAACCUAGCGAAGCAGAAGUAUCGCCCCGCUUUAAUGAUGGUGACACUGAGGCAAAGACAGUUUAACAGGCUGGCCAAAGCCCGCACAGAUGAGUGGGUCUUUGAACUGUAAGCUUCUCUCUUCUGAAGGGAAUUUAGAACCUUCAGAAAAAUUGUGACAGAGGCACAGGUACUUUAAGCACCCUUCAGUACCCCUUCCUAACUUCCUUUCUCUCUCUUUCUUUUCUUUCUUCCCUCCCUCCUGCCCUCCCUUCCUCCCUCCUUCUCUUCCUCUUUCUGUCUUCCUUUCUUGCUUGCUUGCUUUCUGUACUGGAGCUGAACCCAGGGCCUUCCACUGAGCUACAUCCCCAACACGUUUUCAUUUUUUGAGACAGGGUCUCCCUGAGUUGUCCAGGCUGGCCUUGAACUCGUGCUCCUCCUGGCUAACUGGGAUCACAGGCAUACACCGUAGCAUCUGGCUCAAUACCCUCCUUCCCACCACCGGGAAACUACUGUUCUCCACAGCUUUCUCCAACUGCCAGGAAUCUCAUCACUCCCAACCGUAUCUUUCUUGUGUCCUUUUCAGCAAGUGGAAGGGAGGCUUAGCAAAGUCUCAGCACCAGCUAUACUCUGAAGGCAGGGAAACCGUUUGCUUCUCUUUUUCCAACACUCAGCUUCGGUGUCUAAGCCACGGUCCAGUCCUUUGGAAGGAGCUGGGUAAUACGUUGUUAACUGGAAAACAAGCAAUCUUCACUUCCUGUCUCUUCAAGUCAGCAGUCCAGGGAUCAGGACCACAAACCUGUCUCUGGGACAGGCCCGAAGAGAUGGUGGCCUUUAGGUGGGCAGAGAAGAGAGCUGUCAGCGUCCAAGAAAGCCAAGGUCUGGGCAGCCUCCCAGAUGCCUAGGAGCUUUUCCUCUUGCAAUCCGUGCCCCAUGGGACACGUUCCUCCUCCUCAGGGUGGAUCAGACCGACUGACUCACCUCUAACACACUUUGGCCAGACCGAUGGCAUCAUGAAAGCCUACGAAGACACUCCAGGUCCAUCGCAGAGCUCCCUCCCCACGCGGCCUCUUAAAUCAUGUGUUCUCGGGGAAUUUAUCUACCCUGCCGUGAACAGCACCAUCAAAGGGUCACCUGGAAUGUAAACUAGUACAACCAUCGUGGGUGUUGGUAUGGGGAGGACUCGAAAAACUAAAAGCAGAUAAACGGCAUUGUUGUUUAUCACAAACGUGUGAAUCAAAAAGGAAAUGCCCGUGUGAUGCGCAACUCCAGACUUGCAGCAGGCAG